AGAAGCAGCAAAGCAAUUAUCUUUGGUUUUGUCCUUGAGGAUGUAGCUGAUGCAGGCAGGUGACCUGUCCCUGUCCAGAAUAGUCCCCGUCUGUCUAUCUCACAGCUAUGCUGAACAAGGCCAGAGAGACAGGCAAUCACCUCCACCAAGUACUCUGGGUGCAUUAGCACCAAGCCCACCCUAUAGGACUGAGGGUCUGGGGUAAAUUUCCAAUGUGCCGCUCUGAACAGGUAGGCGCUAAAGACACAAAGGUGGAAAAACAGCUAGAGGUGAAAUCACAAGAGAGCAGGUCCUGGUGACCUUCACUUUGCACAGGGGGCAGGAAGAACAAGAAAGAGAUGCUACCAAAGAGUGACAAAAAGCCAGUGAUAGGAACCAAGAACCCGACAAGUCACGGGAAGGAGAAACGGAGAGACGUGGAAGGGAUGGCCUUGUGAGCUAAACCUUAAGAAAGCAAUUCACGUGACAGGUUUGGGACAGAAAUGCAAAGAACUUUCUGCCAGCACAGCAGGUAGGUGACAUCCCAAAAGCCCCCUUGAAACGAUGAAUAGAACCAAGCCCCAAAUCUGCUACUUUCCCUGAGCAUGCAUGCCUGUGGCAGUUUAAUUUGUAAAUGAAGCAAAGGGGAGAUUUAAUAAUAAUGAUAAAAUAGAAAUCACAACAAAAUGCUAAAAUAAAAACGACUUAAAACUUGUGAAUUGGAGAGAGUCUUGAGCAACUCCGGCCUCCUUCCCAUCACACCCAGGAGGAGCCUCCGCUGGUCCAAGUCAUUUCAUCAUCAUAACCACGACCAUGAGGCUGAGAUCCAGAAGCCACAGCCAUGCCCAGAGCCACUGACACCAAGCCAGGCACCACAGGCAACAGAGGCCCAGGCGACCUCAACACACAGCAUAUGCCAGUGGAGACCAGAAGCCAUCCCAAUGAAGGUUUGGAGAACAGUCCAAUGUAAGAAACAGAUGCCCAGAGAACCCAACACAAAAAGAUGCCAGAGACGAAAGCAGCUGUUCUGCCAGUGGAGAAUUUAUCUGCUCCAGAGGCUGAGCAGGGCAGGGCUAAGCAGAUGGCUUACCAUCUCCACCAGCAUCCAGUCAGUCACCUAACAAGAAUAAAUGACUAUACAGCUCUAGCAGUAAGAACGAACAAAGGAGGCUGGAGAGACGGCCCUGCAGUUGAGCUUCAUCGUUCUUGCAGAAGACCAGAGUUUGGUUCCCAGCUCCCACCUGGCAGCUCACGGCCACCUAUAACGCCAGCUCCGGGGGCUCCAACAGUCUCUUCUGACCUCCAAGGCAACUGCACUCAUCUGCACACACCUCCACACACACAUAUGCACAUACAUGGUAAAACUAUUUUCUAAGAAGAAAUGAAGAGCAGGGCUGAAGACCCAAUGCUUACUCUUCUGCCCCUUGACCACAUACACGAGACCUCUCUGAGCUGCCUAUGCAGCACGAGCAUUUUAAUAUAUUUACCUUCUGGUAAGGAUAAACAUUUGUAGAAAGGCUGCUUUUUCUCAAUAUCUUUAAAUGCUUUUAAAUUGCUUCAUAUCUCGUCAAGUUAAAAGUUUUCAAGAACUCGAUUUUUAAUUUAAAUAAAAGUGUAUGUCCUAGGUUGCUUUCUAUUGUUAUAACACCAUGACCCAAAACUAACUUGGGGAGGAAAGGAUUUGCUUUAUAAUUCCACAUCAUAGUGGGUCACUGAGAGAAGUCAGGGCAGGAGCAGAGGCCAUGGUUGGUUGCUGCUUACUGGCUUGCUCCCCAUGGCUUGCUCAACCUGCUUUCUUACAGAACCCAGGACACCUGCCCAGAGAUGGCACUUAGUGCACUAGGCCCUCCUACAUCAAUCAUUAACCAAGAAAAUGUCCUAUAGACCUGCCUACAGGCCAAUCUUAUGAAAGUAAAACUCUCUUCCUAGAUUAUCUCUAGCUGGUGUCAAGCUAAUGAACAUGACAUUGUCUACAUUACAAACUCAGCAUGCCUAAAGCCAACCACGGAUAUUCCAAAAUCUGAGCUUUUGAGCAGGCACCUGUAGUUCAUUUUUUCAUUCUUUGGGGCCAACCACCCAGCUCCCAAAUAAAUACAUGGAGACUUAUUCUUGGUUAUGAAUGCCCGGCCUUAGCUUGGCUUGUUUCUAGCCAGCUUUUCUAACUUAAAUUAUCCCAUUUCUCUUUAACUAUGCUUUCCCUCUGGGCUUUUUACCUUUAUUUUAUAUGUCUUUCUUUCCUUCUUACUCUGUGGCUGGCCCCUGGCGACCUCCUCUUCUUCUCUUGAGCCUAGAUUUCUCCUCCUAUUCUCUCUGCCUGCCAUCCCCACCUGUUUCUCUCUCCUGCCUAGCUAUUGACCAUUCAGCUCUUUAUUAACCCAAACAGGUGUUUUAGGCAGGCAAAGUAACACAGCUUACAGAGUUAAACAAAUGCAACACAAAGAAUGCAGCACACCUCUGCAUCAUUAAACAAAUGCUCCACAGCAUAAACAAAUGUAACACAUCUUAAACUAAUAUUCCACAACAGGCACCACAAUGGGGAACCCACACUGGCCUCAUGUCCCAGACUGAAGUCAGAAAGUAGGCAUACUGAAAACAUUGUACAAAAAUUACCUUUGGGACAUACAGAAAAAGCACA
Molecule: long non-coding RNA, 2614 nt
Organism: Alexandromys fortis (reed vole)
Lineage: Eukaryota; Metazoa; Chordata; Mammalia; Rodentia; Cricetidae
Exons: 2
Source: RefSeq, a predicted model, not a curated record